Molecule: non-coding RNA, 75 nt
Organism: Podarcis lilfordi (Lilford's wall lizard)
Lineage: Eukaryota; Metazoa; Chordata; Lepidosauria; Squamata; Lacertidae
Source: the annotation of a GenBank genome assembly
GUAACCAAUAGUUCAGCUGGUUAGAGCAUGGUGCUCCUAACACCAAGAUUAAAGGUUUGAUCCCUUUAUGGGACA